GAUGAAGAACGCAGCGAAAUGCGAUAAGUAGUGUGAAUUGCAGAAUUCAGUGAAUCAUCGAAUCUUUGAACGCACAUUGCGCCCUUUGGUAUUCCUUAGGGCAUGCCUGUUCGAGCGUCAUUUAAACCUUCAAGCUCAGCUUGGUGUUGGGUGACUGUCCGCUUCACCGCGGACUCGCCUCAAAAUUAUUGGCGGCCGGUACAUUGGCUUCGAGCGCAGCAGAAACGCGAACUCGGGCCCGUCGUAUUGGCUCCCAGAAGCUAUCUUCACAAUUUUGACCUCGGAUCAGGUAGGGAUACCCGCUGAACUUAAGCAUAUCAAUAAGCGGAGGU
RNAcentral lists this unclassified non-coding RNA (332 nucleotides) under soil metagenome. RNAcentral's name for it is "partial contains 5.8S ribosomal RNA, internal transcribed spacer 2, and large subunit ribosomal RNA". The stretch from base 1 to 120 matches the Rfam family "5.8S ribosomal RNA", at positions 35 to 154 of the family's 154-position model. The record is from RNAcentral.